GGGCGUGUGGUCUAGUGGUAUGAUACCCGCUUUGGGAUCUAGUUUUCUCAGAAAAUGCGGGUGGCCCGGGGUUCAAUUCCCCGCUCGCCCC
Molecule: transfer RNA, 91 nt
Filed under: Naumovozyma dairenensis CBS 421
Lineage: Eukaryota; Fungi; Ascomycota; Saccharomycetes; Saccharomycetales; Saccharomycetaceae
Rfam family: tRNA
About the family: Transfer RNA (tRNA) molecules are approximately 80 nucleotides in length.
Source: Rfam by way of RNAcentral